Molecule: ribosomal RNA, 548 nt
Filed under: uncultured bacterium
Lineage: Bacteria
Description: bacterial SSU rRNA
Rfam family: Bacterial small subunit ribosomal RNA
Source: RNAcentral
UAGGGAAUCUUCGGCAAUGGACGGAAGUCUGACCGAGCAACGCCGCGUGAGUGAAGAAGGUUUUCGGAUCGUAAAGCUCUGUUGUAAGAGAAGAACGAGUGUGAGAGUGGAAAGUUCACACUGUGACGGUAUCUUACCAGAAAGGGACGGCUAACUACGUGCCAGCAGCCGCGGUAAUACGUAGGUCCCGAGCGUUGUCCGGAUUUAUUGGGCGUAAAGCGAGCGCAGGCGGUUAGAUAAGUCUGAAGUUAAAGGCUGUGGCUUAACCAUAGUACGCUUUGGAAACUGUUUAACUUGAGUGCAAGAGGGGAGAGUGGAAUUCCAUGUGUAGCGGUGAAAUGCGUAGAUAUAUGGAGGAACACCGGUGGCGAAAGCGGCUCUCUGGCUUGUAACUGACGCUGAGGCUCGAAAGCGUGGGGAGCAAACAGGAUUAGAUACCCUGGUAGUCCACGCCGUANCGAUGAGUGCUAGGUGUUAGACCCUUUCUGGGGUUUAGUGCCGCAGCUAACGCAUUAAGCACUCCGCCUGGGGAGUACGACCGCAAGGUU